This is a non-coding RNA of Heterocephalus glaber (naked mole-rat), 3044 nucleotides long. Lineage: Eukaryota; Metazoa; Chordata; Mammalia; Rodentia; Bathyergidae. The record is from RefSeq and is a predicted model, not a curated record.
UACAGUUUCCUAAUUUCUUUAACAUCAGCGUGGAUAAAAAGGUUAGACCGAGUGUUCUGAUGUAUUGAUCCUGCAGAGCUCCAUGAGUUAGCUUAAAGCCCACUCCUCCAACUCUUCCAACAAUUUUAGGUGGAAUGCAGACUGAAAGUUCCCGGAAGAGGGACCAGGCAACAGCCUACAUAGAAGUUGCGAGAAUAUAUGAUGAAGGGCAUGGCCAGAACCUUCACCUGCGGUCAAAGAUUCCUGGAUCCCGACAAGUGUGGUACUGGUUGCCCUGAAGGACUCAAGGCGCAGUGAUCCCUGAUGUGCCACACAGGAUCAGCAGAGGGACCGGAAGGUAGAAGAGGAGAAACUGGUAUGAUGGGAACAGCGCCACGCAGAGGUGAGGGCUUCCUGUCUGUGCCGUGCCAUCCCGAGGUCCUGGUUCCAGCCCUCACGCACCAGGCAGGUGAGCGUCCAGCAGAGGAGCGCGGCCUCCUGGCUCUCCUCACGCCCCAGGGGAGCAGGUGUGAGGUAAGUGAGGAGGCUCGUGGCAGUGCCUUGUGAGACAGAGCAGGUCACGCCAUGUAAAGGCUGGCUGUGUGCUGUCCCUGCCUCCGCCUCCCCCCAUCACCACCUGUGCUCUGUCCCAGGAGGCUGGGGUGCAGCUCUGAGUCCAGCAAGGCAUGAACCCUGGCCGGCAUCAGCAACAGCCGCUUCUCUCUUUGGUUUCUGAAUUAUUUAUCCCUCCCUUCCCCAUCCCACCCCAGACCUUUUACAACAUUAAGCCUUUAAAUAGGCCUAGGCCUUGGCUUGGCAGUCAGUAUUUCCUCGUCAUCCCUGUCAAGAUGUCUUGGAGAAGGCACACGUCCCUGCAGACUGAUUUUCCCCUUGGCUGUGCCCUGUGGCCAUUGGCUCUGCCUGGGUCCUAAUUGGAGAACAGAACAGCCCUGGCCAGAGUGAGGCAGAGGCCCAGGUCUCAGCUAUGGCUUCUUCCCUCCAGGCCUGUGGAGCACUUGCUGAAUAUUUACUGUCCUUUAUUCAGCUCACUCAUGGCAGUCCUGGGGCUGGAAGGCUCCCCAGGAGGUCAUUUUGUUCCUUUCCAGGCUAGGGCACAGGUCAUCCAGUGUGGUCAGAUGGCAGCCCCUUAACUGUCGCUCUUCCUGCCCACUCCCUUUCUGCCCAGGGAAUUAAGUCCUAGAGGAUAAUACUUGGAUUGUCUUCAGCAGCAGUCUCGUGGACUUCUAAAAGCUGCUGGCAACAACCCCAGGACAAUGGGGGACCCACCAGGGGGUAGGGGUAGGAACCUGGCAAGAAACAGUGGUGCUACCAGAUGUGUUUCUCAGACAAGGCCAAGUUCUGAAAGUAGCAGGGACUCAGCAACAUUUCCACCCUGUUCAAUUUUAAUCUGCCUCCCAAGCUGAGAUCUUCAAGAAGCAAACUCUGAGGUGGAGAUAAGGCUGCAGGACAUUUGUUAGUGACAAUCACUGGACAUCAGUUGGUCACAAGUGGGUAGAGGGAGAAGCUGAGCUGCACUGCAGUCUACGUCACAACCCCAGCUGACCUCAGAGAGCUUGGGAGAUGAAAUGAUCUUCAGUUGUCCCCAGUCAGGGGUGAAUCUUUAUACUCUGUUGAUCUGUCAGUGGGUGCAGGCUGGCCUAGGAAGGAGGUGUGACCCAGCACAGUCCCGGAAGGGCUGCUGGACUCCCCCAAACUGGAGACUGUUCUGCAUUCCUGGAGAGGGUCUAGGCUGGGGUACAUCGAAGCUUUAACCACUCCCAGUGGUGACAUUUUAGAUGGCAGGGAACAAAGUAAGGAAGAUCUUCUUUGGGCAGGGGAUGCUGUCCUGGGUUUCUGAAUCCCUACACUUAGCAGCUCCCUAAGGCUGAGGGCCAGAGUCCCGGAGGGGUAGUCUGCUCCCUCCACCUUCCUCCUCUCCUCCCAGUGAGAUCCAGGCUGAAGGUCUGGAGAGACAGUGGGAGCUGGAGACUCCCCAGGCACCAGGAACCCUCACCUUAACCACCAACAAUUACAUCUGAAAAAACCCAGCUCAUUCCUAUUCCCACUGUGCAGGGCCCCUAAUUAAAAUUCAAACUCAUGUUUUUCUUUUUCUUUUCAAAAUUUUCAAGGUAAUUAAUUUUCCUUUCUGUGGGUAAGCAAUUAAUUAAUGCUCUGUUAAUGAUCAGGAGAUCAGAGCAGUGCAAUUUGCUUGGAAGUUUGUUUCUUUCAUUUCCUUCCAUUUUCCAAAAGUUCUGGCCUCAGUGGAGGAGGAAAUGGAGAAAGAAAGACAUCACAGUGAGGGUCUGCUGUGUGUGACAGGCUGCUGUGUUGGGUCCACACUGAAGCCCUGAAGUUCUUACCACAGGGAGGGUGUAAGCAGUCUUCCCUGGACCACAGAAACAUCCAGGUACAGAGGGUACCUAAGAGAACCUUCCUCAGGAGGGGCCAGCCAGGUACUUCCCAGACCCCAAACGUGAGCUGAGCUGAGAUCCUGGGGUGGGGGCCACUGUACCCCUCUCCCAGGCCCCUGGGUCCACUUCCUCCUCCCCACAACCACCACCACCACAUGCCUCAGACAGGGGAUGUGGAUCAACAGGAUUUUGUAUGAGUUGCAUGUGAGAGUGUAAAUCAGUACCACCACUCUAAAAGACUGGAACAAUUUGCCAUUAUCUCAGAAAAUGGCUGUUUACAUACUCUGCGAUCCAGCAUCCUUUGUGUCUUAGUCACUUUCUCAGCACAGAAACAAAAUACCCGACACCUACAACUUAAAGCAGGAGAAGUUUGUUUUGGUUCACAUUUUAGAAGUUUCAGUCCUUGCACAGUCGGCAGCAUGGCUGAAGGGCUGGGCAUGGAGGAAAUCUGCUCAUGCCAUGGCAGCCAGAAAGCAGACAGUGCAAGGAACAAGCCAGGGAGGGAGACACACCCUACCAGGUCACACCCCAGUGACCCCCUCGUCCCAUCAGACCUAUCUCCUAACAUCACAGUUAGCUAUAGCGCCCCCAUGAUUCACCCACCUUUUAAAAGCUCUACCUAUGAGCACAUGAUGCUGCGAGGGGAGGGAGAUG